UCGAAAGUAUGGGUAGCAAACAGGAUUAGAUACCCUGGUAGUCCAUACCGUAAACGAUGAAUGCUAAGUGUUGGAGGGUUUCCCCCUUCAGUGCUGCAGCUAACGCAUUAAGCAUUCCGCCUGGGGAGUACGGCCGCAAGGCUGAAACUCAAAGGAAUUGACGGGGGCCCGCACAAGCGGUGGAGCAUGUGGUUUAAUUCGAAGCUACGCGAAGAACCUUACCAGGUCUUGACAUACUAUGCAAAUCUAAGAGAUUAGACGUUCCCUUCGGGGACAUGGAUACAGGUGGUGCAUGGUUGUCGUCAGCUCGUGUCGUGAGAUGUUGGGUUAAGUCCCGCAACGAGCGCAACCCUUAUUAUCAGUUGCCAGCAUUAAGUUGGGCACUCUGGUGAGACUGCCGGUGACAAACCGGAGGAAGGUGGGGAUGACGUCAAAUCAUCAUGCCCCUUAUGACCUGGGCUACACACGUGCUACAAUGGAUGGUACAACGAGUUGCGAACUCGCGAGAGUAAGCUAAUCUCUUAAAGCUAUUCUCAGUUCGGAUUGUAGGCUGCAACUCGCCUACAUGAAGUCGGAAUCGCUAGUAAUCGCGGAUCAGCAUGCCGCGGUGAAUACGUUCCCGGGCCUUGUACACACCGCCCGUCACACCAUGAGAGUUUGUAACACCCAAAGUCGGUGGGGUAACCUUUAGGAACCAGCCGCCUAAGGUGGGACAGAUGAUUAGGGUGAAGUCGUAACAAGGUAACCA
Molecule: ribosomal RNA, 748 nt
Filed under: uncultured Lactobacillus sp.
Lineage: Bacteria; Bacillati; Bacillota; Bacilli; Lactobacillales; Lactobacillaceae
Description: bacterial SSU rRNA
Rfam family: Bacterial small subunit ribosomal RNA
Source: RNAcentral